GAUGAACGCUGGCGGCGUGCUUAACACAUGCAAGUCGAACGGUAACAGGAAGAAGCUUGCUUCUUUGCUGACGAGUGGCGGACGGGUGAGUAAUGUCUGGGAAACUGCCUGAUGGAGGGGGAUAACUACUGGAAACGGUAGCUAAUACCGCAUAACGUCGCAAGACCAAAGAGGGGGACCUUCGGGCCUCUUGCCAUCGGAUGUGCCCAGAUGGGAUUAGCUAGUAGGUGGGGUAACGGCUCACCUAGGCGACGAUCAGUAGCCGGACUGAGAGGUUGGCCGGCCACAUUGGGACUGAGACACGGCCCAA
This 310-nucleotide ribosomal RNA is filed under the name uncultured bacterium. Its description in RNAcentral is "bacterial SSU rRNA". It matches the Rfam family "Bacterial small subunit ribosomal RNA", at positions 28 to 334 of the family's 1533-position model. The record is from RNAcentral.